Molecule: ribosomal RNA, 1403 nt
Filed under: metagenome
Description: bacterial LSU rRNA
Rfam family: Bacterial large subunit ribosomal RNA
Source: RNAcentral
UGAGAAAACCGGUGCAAGCACAAUAGAUGUGUGGGAGGAAAAACCCCCGCAUAAGUCGAAGGUGUGACGCGGACCGAAAAAGAGUAGGGAAGCUGUUAAGCAAGCCGUCAAGAAAAGCUGCUAUUGUUUCAUUAUGGCCCGUACCGUAAACCGACACAGGUGGAUGGGGAGAGAAUCCUAAGGCCGGCGGAAGAAGUAUUGUUAAGGAACUCGGCAAAAUGACCCCGUAACUUCGGGAGAAGGGGUGCCUGCGAGAGCAGGCCGCAGAGAAGAGGCCCAAGCAACUGUUUAGCAAAAACACAGGUCUAUGCAAAACCGAAAGGUGAGGUAUAGGGGCUGACGCCUGCCCGGUGCUGGAAGGUUAAGGGGAGUGGUCAGGAAACGAAGCCACGAACUUAAGCCCCAGUAAACGGCGGCCGUAACAAUAACGGUCCUAAGGUAGCGAAAUUCCUUGUCGGGUAAGUUCCGACCCGCACGAAAGGCGUAAUGAUUUGGGCGCUGUCUCGACAAUACAUCCGGUGAAAUUGAAGUGCCAGUGAAGAUGCUGGCUACCUGCGCCAGGACGGAAAGACCCCAUGGAGCUUUACUCCAGCUUGAUACUGGGACCCGGUAUUGCAUGUACAGGAUAGGUGGGAGGCUAGGAAAUGUGGACGCCAGUCUGCAUGGAGCCGCUGUUGGGAUACCACCCUUGUGGUGCUGGGUUUCUAACCAGAGGCCGUGAACCGGUCUGGGGACAAUGUCAGGUGGGGAGUUUGACUGGGGCGGUCGCCUCCGAAAGGGUAUCGGAGGCGCCCAAAGGUUCCCUCAGAAUGGUUGGAAACCAUUCGAAGAGUGCAAAGGCAGAAGGGAGCUUGACUGCGACACCGACGGGUGGAGCAGGUACGAAAGUAGGGCUUAGUGAUCCGGUGGAAUUUAAGUGGGAAUGCCAUCGCUCAACGGAUAAAAGCUACCCUGGGAUAACAGGCUGAUCACUCCCAAGAGUUCACAUCGACGGAGUGGUUUGGCACCUCGAUGUCGGCUCAUCGCAUCCUGGGGCUGAAGUCGGUCCCAAGGGUUGGGCUGUUCGCCCAUUAAAGCGGUACGCGAGCUGGGUUCAGAACGUCGUGAGACAGUUCGGUCCCUAUCCGGCGUGGGCGUAGGAUAUCUGAGAGGAGCUGUCCUUAGUACGAGAGGACCGGGAUGGACUGACCUCUGGUGUACCGGUUGGCGAUCAACGCCACGGCCGGGUAGCCAUGUCGGGACGGGAUAAACGCUGAAGGCAUCUAAGCGUGAAGCCCCCCUCAAGAUGAGAUAUCCCAUUCGAAAGAAGUAAGACCCCUUGAAGACGACGAGGUUGAUAGGGCAGGGGUGGAAGUGCCGUAAGGCAUGGAGCUGACUGCUACUAAUCGGUCGAGGGCUUGACC